Molecule: ribosomal RNA, 75 nt
Filed under: Gossypium arboreum
Lineage: Eukaryota; Viridiplantae; Streptophyta; Magnoliopsida; Malvales; Malvaceae
Source: RNAcentral
UGGUGGGAUCAUACCAGCACUAAUGCACCGGAUCCCAUCAGAACUCCGCAGUUAAGCGUGCUUGGGCGAGAGUAG